GAAAUGCGAUAAUUAAUGUGAAUUGCAGAAUUCAGUGAAUCAUCGAGUCUUUGAACGCACAUUGCGCCCCCUGGUAUUCCGGGGGGCAUGCCUGUCCGAGCGUCAUUGCUGCCCUCAAGCACGGCUUGUGUGUUGGGCUUCCGUCCCUGGCAACGGGGACGGGCCCAAAAGGCAGUGGCGGCACCAUGUCUGGUCCUCGAGCGUAUGGGGCUUUGUCACCCGCUCCCGUAGGUCCAGCUGGCAGCUAGCCUCGCAACCAAUCUUUUUAACCAGGUUGACCUCGGAUCAGAUAGGGAUACCCGCUGAACUUAAGCA
RNAcentral lists this unclassified non-coding RNA (315 nucleotides) under plant metagenome. Its description in RNAcentral is "partial contains 5.8S ribosomal RNA, internal transcribed spacer 2, and large subunit ribosomal RNA". The stretch from base 1 to 105 matches the Rfam family "5.8S ribosomal RNA", at positions 50 to 154 of the family's 154-position model. The record is from RNAcentral.